CCCUGCCUGGUCAAACUCUUUCGCCUCUGCCUGUCAACAUCUACCUUUCCUUCUUGCUGGAAGUAUGCCUUCAUACAGCCUGUACCUAAGAAGGGUGACCGCUCCAAUCCCUCAAACUACCGUCCUAUUGCUUUACUUUCUUGUCUAUCUAAAGCUUUUGAAUCAAUCCUUAACCGGAAGAUUCAAAAGCACCCUUCCACUUCUGACCUUCUAUCUGAUCGCCAGUAUGGGUUCCGCAAGGGGCGUUCUACUGGUGAUCUCCUAGCCUUCUUAACUGACUCUUGGUCAUCCUCUCUUAGCCGUUUCGGUGAAACUUUUGCUAUUGCGCUGGACAUAUCAAAAGCUUUUGAUAGGGUCUGGCACAAAUCUUUGCUUUCUAAACUACCCUCCUACGGUUUCUAUCCUUCUCUCUGUACCUUUAUCUCCAGUUUCCUUUCUGACCGUUCUAUUUCUGCCGUGGUAGACGGUCACUGUUCUUCCCCUAAAUCUAUUAACAGUGGUGUCCCACAGGGUUCUGUCCUAUCUCCCACUCUUUUUCUGUUGUUCAUUGAUGAUCUUUCCAAAACGAACUGUCCUAUCCAUUCCUACGCCGAUGAUUCCACUCUGCAUUAUUCAACUUCUUUUAAUAGAAGACCCACCCUUCAGGAACUUAACGACUCAAGGCUGGAGGCUGCAGAACGCUUAGCCUCAGACCUAACUAUUAUUUCCGAUUGGGGCAAGAAGAACCUGGCGGCGGAUGCUCAAACGGUCGUAUCUCAACAUUUGGUCCUAAAUCCGCCAUUGUGGUUGCAAGUGCUGCCCCGUGCGAUGUUCAAAAAACGUCCUAGACGCCAUCUUGUGACGUCAGGUCGCCCCUCAGCCUGACUGCUCGGGAGCGGGGCUAGAUCCGACCAGUUUCCGUCCUAGCCCGUCGCCAUUAAAGGAGUGUUUCCGCCUCAUCCACAUCUCCACCUCUAUACACAAUAAUUAUAAGAUGGAGCUUGUUGCGGCAUACAUUUUCAAUCGCAAACUGUGCAGGGAAAGGAGAUAUCGGGACCCACUCAACGCACUACAUGUCAGUGAUGAGCACCUGUUGCAGGUGUAUAGAUUUCCCCGUCAGGAAAUCAUCAGGCUCUGUGAUGAGUUUCGCCCCCACCUGGAAAGGAGAACCAGGAGGGCACAUGCACUCCCAACACACACCCAGGAGACACUGCGUAUCCUCUGGAGCCAUUCCUGAUGACCCCAGUUGCACGGCCGACAACACCUGGGGAGGAGCGCUACAACAAGUCAUCACAGGACAAGAUGCGUUGUCGAACGGACCUUUGGGAUCCUCAAGUCAAGGUGCAGGUGCCUACAUAAGUCAGGAGGAAGUUUGCAGUAUGACCCCAAGAAGACUAUGAAGAUUGCGACUUCUUGUAUGCUCCUGCACAACUACUGAGUGGAUCGCUGCAGAAGAAGUAACAGUUCAGCCUGUGAGAAACAACAGACUGAUUCCUGGUCAAGUUGUCAGGCAGGAAUUUAUUAGAAACUUCUUUUCCUGAGUAUAGAUUGCAUAUGGUGCACUGGUGGCCGAGUGGUCAGCGUGUGUAUGUGGUGAUCCAGAGGACUCGACUCCCACCGCAAGACGCUGAGAGUUUUCAACCAUUGACAAGUGGCGGAGGGUUACCAACAUGCUGCCCGGCAGAUUUUCAGUCAACCCUAACUUCAGUGUCUUUGAUCAAGAGGGGCACCACCUCCACACCACUCAUUCUUAUCACCUAGUUUGAUACCCUACUUGUCCAUCUCACAUGCCCCAUGUAUCUCAGCAUUCUGCACUCUUGGCUCCAUGUCAUCCUCUCCAACUUGUUGGUUCGUAUAGCAUAACCGGCCUCACAUACAUAGAAGUGUUCAAUAUACCUAGGCUAUAAUAUUAUAUUUAAGGACUCUUAUACGAGGUAUCGCCCCAGACAGAGGUGUCGAAGUAAGUCUGUCUGAUGGUAGGCUGGCUGACUGCUGUCGGGACCCAAGCCAGCAUGCCCUGGGGGUUGUGUGCGGGAGGAGGAAAGAGGGAAAAGGACAAAUGGUGUGUGUGUCAUUAUCAGGGGUAACCACGGUGGAGUGCAAACACUCAGUAGUUGUAGUCAAGGCUUAAUUAAGUUGAUGAGUGGUGUUAGACUGAAUGAGCAGGUUUUUUACCACAUGUUAGUGGGAACACUUGAUAGGUUUUGUUUGUGUGUUGGUGCUACUUGUUUCUUGUGUUUACAUGUUAGUUUAUAAUUAGACUGAGUUCUAAGUGUUAUGAGCGACAAUUUAGUCUUGUAUGGCUGAAUCCUGUCCCUUGACCCUUAAUUCAUCAUCAGAAUCUUUAAACAAAUAUAUUUACCUUAAGUAAUAUUCUUAAAGUCACGCUGCCCAUAUUAUUUGGCAGAUGAUAACCCUGUAUGCGAUAACGGUGCUUUAUAAGACUUCGUAAAUAAACUACUAAUUUUACUCUCUGGUUUAAGUGAUCAACAAUUAAUUCUACUUUGAGGUAUAAUUAACCAACAUUAUUAAGGAGUGCCCAUGCCAGGCACGACAUUAAGAAUAUUUUUCUGUUGACCAGCAGACUUACUAUAGUCAAACCAUUUAAAAAUGUCUGUUGAGGCAGUGGCUUCUGCAGGUCCUUUCCUCCCUUCUGCUUUGCCACACAGUUCCAAUUACCUAUUUCCUCUGUUUCCCGUCCCCUCUUUCACAAACUGGGCACCUGUAAUGUACCCCUACUUGAUUUACAUUUCUCAGCCCUGAGCAUCUCUUUGUGGCACCACUUAACACUCCCUGUGCACAGGGCAGAGUUAGUAGCCAUUUCUCUUCCACACCAACUACCUUCCUGUAUAUAUGAUUUCUCAGUAAUUACUUUUUUUUUUUUUUUUUUUUACAGCAAAGGAGACAGCUCAAGGGCACAAAAAAGUAAACAUUAAUAAAAAAAGCCCGCUACUCGCUGCUCGCUUGUGCUGUAUUAGCUGUUACAUGCUACAUCAAGCUGUAAUAUCUACCC
This is a long non-coding RNA of Eriocheir sinensis (Chinese mitten crab), 2992 nucleotides long. RefSeq lists it as uncharacterized. The transcript is spliced from 4 exons. The record is from RefSeq and is a predicted model, not a curated record. NCBI's taxonomy places the organism in Eukaryota, Metazoa, Arthropoda, Malacostraca, Decapoda, Varunidae.